ACAGUGUUCUUGCGAGUUACAAUUACGCGUCCGGUUUGGCGGCAACUUCAAAGAGUGGACAUAUGGUUGCUCCUUCAGCCACAGCAAAGAUCCCGAACCACGUGCAGUCAGCAGAGUUACAGCGUCUGGUUACCGUCUUGCAGUUACGAUACAGAAUAUGUGCACAUAGCUUUCAAUGACCAGACGAAAAAAGAAUUCAUUUCAAGUAUGUUGAGAAGAAAACGUAAGUAAAGCACAAUAUUUACAUUCAUAAUACAUUUUAUUCCGCAGGCUCUAUUGUAAAGUUAAACUCUAGCUGCGUAUAGGCUGCUAUUAUCCAUUAUA
Long non-coding RNA from Haliotis rufescens (red abalone), 324 nucleotides. RefSeq lists it as uncharacterized. The record is from RefSeq and is a predicted model, not a curated record. The transcript is spliced from 3 exons. Lineage: Eukaryota; Metazoa; Mollusca; Gastropoda; Lepetellida; Haliotidae.